Protopterus annectens (West African lungfish) is the source of this 314-nucleotide long non-coding RNA. RefSeq lists it as uncharacterized. The transcript has 3 exons. The record is from RefSeq and is a predicted model, not a curated record. NCBI's taxonomy places the organism in Eukaryota, Metazoa, Chordata, Ceratodontiformes, Protopteridae.
ACAGGCUCGGUCACAUUGCAUUUUGGAGUUGAUGCAAGCAGCAUUAAGGAGAGGUACUUUGUACCAGUAUCCUACAGUUCUGGACUGGUCUGUCUUGUGAAUGCCAAAUUCAGCAUCUGAUCAGUUUUUAAAAGAAGUCAAAAUGCAUCAUUCAGCAUAUAAAACCAGCCACCCUUUACAAACAGAAGAACAAGAGACAGGCUUCGAUCCUCUACAGAGAUACAGCAACAAAAAUGAAGAAGGAGGAAAAAAUGCAAAUCAGAUAGAGAGAACCUCAGAAGCCAUUGGCACACCCAGUUCCUACAGGUAAGCAU